AUGAGCUAAGUUUUUCAAUGAAUGCACUUAAUUUUGCGCUAGGAGCCUUAUUUGGUAUCCAGAUUUAGCAACAUAUUCACUAUUAAAGGUUGACGUGAAACCACGUUGAAACAUGUAUAGUGAAAUUUACAACCGUUGAUCGGUUUAAAUAGAGAUCUUAAUUGUGUAUUAUGAAACAUUGUUCGUUUGUGAAUUUAACAUUUAGAAAUUCACUAUAUUGACAACAGUGCUUCUUCGUCAAUUACUAUUCUGUUGGAGUGACACACCCUCUCAUGGUGUAUAUCGAGUAUAAUGAAUAAACGACGAAUAAUUUCUUAUUAUAUUUAUAGUUAUUAUAAUCUACAAGAUCAUUUAAGUAAAUUAUAAGUGUGGGCAACAAAAGUAAAAGUAGUUAUGGUCCUGAGUUACACUAUCGUAGCCAUUAACUUCAAUGAGACGGAAAACCAGGUUAUUUAAAAUUUCAUCUCAUUCCUGAUUGCUUCACCACAUCUUUAUAAUCCCUGCCUGUGAAUUGUGAAUAUUUUAAAAGGUAUCGUCAUGCUCUCAUGCCUUCUUCAGGAUCUAUAGUUCAUCAUGUUUCCAAUGGAAAGAUCUACCCAUGCUAUUAUGGAAGUGAAUAGAUCUUCAAUAUCCUUUCACUAAAGAAUGUAAAGGUUGUUGUGAAUCUUGUUCUUGCCAGAAUGGAGGAAUCUUUUUCACAGAUACCGAAAGACACCUUCAUUAUGGCCAGUGUCAGAAUCACAAGCCAACAUAUGACAAUGGGAUUGAAAACAAAUUGUUUUGUCUUACUGUUAAUAAGAAAGAGAUACUAUUCAAAAGAAACUCAUUCCAUUUUUAUUGAGAGCUCUACUACUAAUAAAGCAAAUGAUCGAGUUUGUUAUAAACCCAAUGGAUUAUCUGAAGGGAUGGUAAAGCUGUGAAAAAUAUAUUGCAGUGUGGUCAGUGAUAAGCAAAGAUCAUAUCUCU
RNAcentral lists this long non-coding RNA (966 nucleotides) under Limulus polyphemus (Atlantic horseshoe crab). RNAcentral's name for it is "uncharacterized LOC106460743, transcript variant X3". The record is from RNAcentral. Lineage: Eukaryota; Metazoa; Arthropoda; Merostomata; Xiphosura; Limulidae.